GUAGCAAUCAAAUUUCUGGUAGAAUUCCAAAUAGUUUAUUCAAGUGCAAAGAGCUAAAGAUUUUAUCAUUGUUUAACAACUCCUUGGAGGGAACUAUACCUACAGAAAUUGGAAAUUUGACUUUGCUCGACAGUUUGAAUCUUGGUAACAACCACCUCAAAGGUGAAAUUUCGUCGAUUAUUGGAAAUCUUAUUUCUCUCACAGACAUUGAUCUUUCUGUUAACUACCUAACAGGUUUUUCCAUUCAAGUCAAGUGAUGGGCACGUAUCGGUUCUCGGUCCUUCACCUUCCCCGACAACCAUUUUUUCUCUUGGCCAUCACUCCGAUUCUAAUCCAUUACCUGCCGUCCCACUACCUACAGCCCCAUGCCCCAACCAGAAGCUCCCUACUGUCCCAAGUACCCCCUACUGACUGCCGAUCAAUCUCUUGCCAUCACCACUGUUUUUCUCGCAACCUGCUCCCAUUGUUCCCAAUGACCCUAUCACAUUCCCGAUAGGUUCUAGCAGUCCCAAUGCUUCUCCUACCACUGCUCAGGUACCUACUGUGCGUCAUUCAAUGACUUUACGCUCCCAUACUGGCUCACUUAAACCAAAGGUUUUUCAUACUGCUGCGUCCACUACACUGUCAGCCCCUUCGUCAUACACUGAAGCAGCAAAACAUCAAGUAUGGCGUGCUGCAAUGGGAGAAGAAAUUGAUGCUCUUCUAUCAAAUGGCACAUGGGAUCUUGUUCCUCGUUCUCGAGCUUCGAAUAUCAUUGGUUGCAAGUGGGUAUACCGUGUAAAAACAAAAGUGGAUGGUUCCUUCGAUAGAUGUCGUGUGCGGUUGGUUGCAAAAGGGUUUCAUCAAUGACCAGGCCUUGAUUACGUUGAGACUUUCAGCUCUGUUAUAAAGCCAGCCACCAUAAGGUUAAUUCUUUCCAUUGCCGUCAAUCGUCAUUGGCCCAUUCGACAACUUGAUGUUUCGAAUGCCUUUCUUCACGGGACUUUUGAUGAAAUUGUUUUUAUGGAACAACCACAGGGAUUUGUUGAUCAUUCUAAACCCGAUUUUGUAUGUGCUCUAAAGAAAUCGCUAUAUGGUUUAAAGCAGGCACCACGAGCUUGGUAUUUUUUCCUUUCGAAUGCACUACAACAGCUUGGUUUUCACGGUUCCAAGGCUGACAGUUCGCUGUUUAUAUAUUCCGGUAAUGACGAGAAUGCAUAUUGCUUGGUCUAUGUUGAUGAUUUGGUGUUGACAGGAUCAUCCUCUUCGCUGUUACAACGGUUUAUUGCUCAACUUGGGAAGGUUGUUGCGCUCAAGGAUUUAGGACCACUAUCCUAUUUCUUGGGUGUUGAAGUUGCGUAGUUCUCGAGUGGCUUGCAGCUCACGUAAUCCAAAUAUAUCAAAGAUUUGCUCUAUCGUGCGAAUAUGCAAGAUGCCUCGUCGGUUUCGACUCCUUCAACACCGCAAGCCGACCUCACUGGCACUACUUCUUCUAUCUUUUAUGAUCCUAAGCUUUAUCGACAGGUUGUUGGGUCUCUUCAAUAUUUGGCACUCACUCGCCCCGACAUAACCAUGGCAGUGAACAAAGCUGCACAAUUUAUGCAUUUUCCUUGCCUCCAUCAUUGGCAAGCCGUGAAACGGAUCCUACGUUACCUCUGCGGCACAAUAGAUCAUGGUCUCGUGCUUCGCUCUUCUCGCCAAGCUUCACUUGUUGCUUUUUCGUAUGCUGAUUAGGGUGGCGACAAGCUUGAUCGAAAGAGCACUUCUGCAUAUAUUGUCUUUCUUGGCUCCAAUCCGAUCUCUUGGAUUUCUCGUAAGCAAAAGACUGUCGCUCGUUCAAGCACGGAUUUGGAAUAUUGAGCUUUAGCAUCAGCUGCUUCGGAGGUUUAUUGGCUUCAGUGCCUUCUUCGGGAACUCAAUUACAAGCUUCCAACAACGCCGAAAGUAUGGUGCGAUAACGUUUCCGCUACCUAUCUAGCUGCGAAUCCCAUUUUUCAUUCUCGUAGCAAGCACCUUGAGUUGGACUUUCAUUUUGUCCAAGACCAAGUACGCCAGAAGAAUCUUCUCGUCUCCUAUGUUCCGACCAUUAAUCAAAUAGCCGAUGUCUUGACGAAACCUUUAUCGACAACUCGGUUUCUUACGCUUCAAGACAAACUGAUGGUGACUUCCCCCAUUCGUUUGCGGGGGGCUGUUGAGAGUUAACCAAGUCAAACUAGACUUGUUAUCACUCAUAUUCUUUAGGAUUUUAUUCUACUUAAAAUUCAAAUUCAAAUUGUGAAUAGCUAUAGAUAACACUCUGAUGUAAUCUUGUAUAUAUUUGCUAUCAA
This is a long non-coding RNA of Gossypium raimondii (Peruvian cotton), 2306 nucleotides long. RefSeq lists it as uncharacterized. The record is from RefSeq and is a predicted model, not a curated record. The transcript is spliced from 3 exons. Lineage: Eukaryota; Viridiplantae; Streptophyta; Magnoliopsida; Malvales; Malvaceae.